This 407-nucleotide ribosomal RNA is filed under the name uncultured bacterium. RNAcentral describes it as "partial 16S ribosomal RNA". It matches the Rfam family "Bacterial small subunit ribosomal RNA", at positions 29 to 526 of the family's 1533-position model. The record is from RNAcentral.
AUUGAACGCUAGCGGGAUGCCUUACACAUGCAAGUCGAACGGAGUGGCGAACGGGUGAGUAAUGUAUCGGAACGUGCCCAGUAGCGGGGGAUCACUACGCGAAAGCGUAGCUAAUACCGCAUACUAUUGGAGCGGCCGAUAUCGGAUUAGCCAGUGGGGGGGGUAACGGCUAACAAAGGAGACGAUCCGUAGCUGGUUUGAGAGGACGACCAGCCACACUGGGAGUGAGACACGGGCCAGACUCCUACGGGAGGCAGCAGUGGGGAAUAGUGGACAAUGGGGGAAACCCUGAUCCAGCCAUCCCGCGUGUGCGAUGAAGGCCUUCGGGUUGGAAAGCAAUUUUGGCAGGAAAGCGGUACCUGCAGAAGAAGAACCGGCUAACUACGUGCCAGCAGCCGCGGUAAUAC